UUUCUUCCAGCAAACAUUGCUAAAAGCUGUAAUCUCCAGUUAGAAAACAACCUCGAAGGGAGUUUCUCAGUGGCCUCAUUAGACAAACAAGAGGUGGUAGGACCAAGCCUCCUUCUGAAUGGACCUGCCCAGGAAGAAAAGGGCCAAAAGGUACACAGAAAGCCCCCUGGUGUCUGAUGGCCCGUGGAAUCUGCCAACACCCAGAUUGGAAGAAAGGCACUAAGCACACAAGUGAUGUGCUUUCCUCGGAUGUGUUGCUGGUCAGAUUGCAGAGGUCAAGGUUCUGCAUCCACUUCCGGAGGGAAGAGAUGAGGUCAGCCCCACCCAGCCCACGUGGAGUGAAGAUAGGAGGCCUCUGCAAAGGAAAAUUGGAGUGCAGCUGCCAAACGCAGGGGUGAUCCUGGGCAAGUGAAAAUGAAGUCAUUGUCACCGUCAAAGUGAGUAUUCUCUCUGCCUGUAGACAUGCUCUUAUGCCUUUAAGACACAUUUAAGUUAUUCUUUAUCAAUUAUACACCCCACAACAUCACACACACAUACACAUGCUUAAACCAAUUGUUAUGAUUUGGCUGUGUCCUCACCCAAAUCUCACCUUGAAUUGUAAUAAUCCCUGUAUGUCAAGGGUGGAGGCAGGUAGAGAUAAUUGAAUCAUGCAGGCGGUUCCCCCCGCACUGUUCUUGUGGUAGUGAAUAAGCCUCAGAGAUCUGAUGGUUUUAUAAAGGGGAAUUCCACUGCACAAACUCUCUUUCUUGCUGCCAUGUAAGAAGUGUCUUGCUUCCCCUUCACCUUCUGCCAUGAUUGUGAGGUCUCCCCAGCCAUGUGGAACUGUGAGUCCAUUGAACCUCUUUCCUUUAUAAAUUACCGAGUCGUGGAUAUGUCUUUAUUAACAGUGUGAGAGCAGACUGAUACACCAAUGUUGGGGCUCAGAAAGCAAUAUCCAAAGUAUAGCGUUUUGACAUGAGGAACUGAAGGCUCCAAUGUAUACAUGUUACGUAAAUUUGCAUGCCUUUUCUCCUAUUAAUCAAUCUGCCUCAUGCCAGUGAUUUUUCAGCAAGGGGGCUAAAAGCCUAUGACCCCCACACCUAUUAUGCGCUAGGUUCUAGCCAGAGAGUCAUCAAUCAGAUAAUCUGGUCCAAUGACUGAUUACAGAAGUUCUCUCCUAGUCACCCAUUAGUGAUCCAACUGGUACCAGGCUGCCUUAUGUCCAACAAGAAGGGCUACAUUCCAACUCAACUUCCCUUGGACCAAAGGUCCCCAAGGUCUUUCAUGGCCAGGUAGCUGGCUUAUAUUACCAACUACCCUAAACAAUAU
RNAcentral lists this long non-coding RNA (1308 nucleotides) under Macaca mulatta (Rhesus monkey). RNAcentral's name for it is "lncRNA (ENSMMUG00000058740.1)". Lineage: Eukaryota; Metazoa; Chordata; Mammalia; Primates; Cercopithecidae. The record is from RNAcentral.